Molecule: ribosomal RNA, 373 nt
Filed under: uncultured bacterium
Lineage: Bacteria
Description: bacterial SSU rRNA
Rfam family: Bacterial small subunit ribosomal RNA
Source: RNAcentral
AUACGGAGGGUGCAAGCGUUAUCCGGAUUCACUGGGUUUAAAGGGUGCGUAGGUGGGCAGUUAAGUCAGUGGUGAAAUCUCCGGGCUUAACCCGGAAACUGCCAUUGAUACUAUCUGUCUUGAAUACUCUGGAGGUAAGCGGAAUAUGUCAUGUAGCGGUGAAAUGCUUAGAUAUGACAUAGAACACCGAUUGCGAAGGCAGCUUACUACGGAGUCAUUGACACUGAGGCACGAAAGCGUGGGGAUCAAACAGGAUUAGAUACCCUGGUAGUCCACGCCCUAAACGAUGGAUACUCGACAUUUGCGAUACACAGUAAGUGUCUGAGCGAAAGCAUUAAGUAUCCCACCUGGGAAGUACGACCGCAAGGUUGAA